Molecule: long non-coding RNA, 329 nt
Filed under: Physcomitrium patens
Lineage: Eukaryota; Viridiplantae; Streptophyta; Bryopsida; Funariales; Funariaceae
Description: long non-coding RNA (PPAT_LNC001780)
Source: RNAcentral
UCUAAAGAAAUAAUAAAAAUAAAAUCUCUAAUAUAAUCCUAAGUAAAUUCUUAAUUGAACUUUAAUCAAAUUCUAUAUCAAAUCCUAAUAAAACCUAAUAAAAACCUAAAUCCUAGAAAAAUCCUAGAUAAAUCUUAAUCAACUCUUAAUCAAAUUUUAAACCAAAUUCCAAAAAAACCCUAAUCUUAACCAAAUCCUAAGCCUUAACUAAACCAUAUAGAAAUCCUAAACCAAAUCUUAUCACAAAUUGGAAUUUUAACAACUAAUGAUUAAAUUAUUGAAAUCAAUUCAAAAUUUUCUUAAUUCUUAAUAUCUUAAUUAAAAAAAAU